This 422-nucleotide ribosomal RNA is filed under the name uncultured prokaryote. Its description in RNAcentral is "bacterial SSU rRNA". It matches the Rfam family "Bacterial small subunit ribosomal RNA", at positions 355 to 774 of the family's 1533-position model. The record is from RNAcentral.
UGAGGAAUAUUGGUCAAUGGACGAGAGUCUGAACCAGCCAAGUCGCGUGAAGGAAGAAUGUCCUAUGGAUUGUAAACUUCUUUUGCAGGGGAAUAAAGAGAUCCACGAGUGGGUUAUUGCAAGUACUCUGCGAAUAAGGAUCGGCUAACUCCGUGCCAGCAGCCGCGGUAAUACGGAGGAUCCGAGCGUUAUCCGGAUUUAUUGGGUUUAAAGGGUGUGUAGGUGGAUAGAUAAGUCAGCGGUGAAAUUUUUGAGCUUAACUGAAGAAUUGCCGUUGAAACUGUUUAUCUUGAGUGCAAAUGAGGUAUGCGGAAUGUGUUGUGUAGCGGUGAAAUGCAUAGAUAUAACACAGAACACCGAUUGCGAAGGCAGCGUACUGGGAUGCAACUGACACUGAGGCACGAAGGCGUGGGGAUCAAACA